This 253-nucleotide ribosomal RNA is filed under the name uncultured bacterium. RNAcentral describes it as "partial 16S ribosomal RNA". It matches the Rfam family "Bacterial small subunit ribosomal RNA", at positions 524 to 776 of the family's 1533-position model. The record is from RNAcentral.
UACAUGUGGGGCAAGCGUUGUUCGGGAUUACUGGGCGUAAAGCGCACGUAGGCGGCUUUCUAAGUCGGGGGUGAAAUCCUGGAGCUCAACUCCAGAACUGCCUUCGAUACUGGAGAGCUUGAGUCCGGGAGAGGUGAGUGGAACUGCGAGUGUAGAGGUGAAAUUCGUAGAUAUUCGCAAGAACACCAGUGGCGAAGGCGGCUCACUGGCCCGGUACUGACGCUGAGGUGCGAAAGCGUGGGGAGCAAACAGG